UGCUUUCUGAAACAGGUAUGAAAUUGACAAGGUCACGGCUGGGCAGCGAUUGGAUUUAAAUCUUGAAAGAGGGUAAGGCAAUUAGACUGUGUAUGUAUAAGUUGCAUAAUCUGCCUCAAGAUGGUCCUCUGUCGUCCACUUAUUGAGCUCCUGCCACUGGAUUAAAUCCAGGAAACAAUGAACCCAAAAUUGAAAAUCUGUUCAUCCAAGUCUAUGUAUAUGGUUAUCCAAUGCAAGAAUCUGAUCUUAUUGCAUUUAUAGAGUUAUUACUUGAUAAGGUUGCUACAUAUUAAAAUCUAAUGUUGUGUAAUUACACGGUGAUGUGCACAUUUAGGGUACUUUUUAUUUCGUUUUUUUGUAUAAA
RNAcentral lists this long non-coding RNA (364 nucleotides) under Jatropha curcas. RNAcentral's name for it is "long non-coding RNA (JCUR_LNC003554)". The record is from RNAcentral. Lineage: Eukaryota; Viridiplantae; Streptophyta; Magnoliopsida; Malpighiales; Euphorbiaceae.